CGGGAACAUCAAUUGCUGCUUUGUUACCUCUCUCAACCUUGUCUAUGCUUUCUUUGUUGCACAGAGAAACAGGCCCGAUGCACCAAACUUUUCCUUGUUUGCCUUUCUUGCAGCCUUCAACAAAUGCCGACUCUAUCUCUUCGAAGGUAUUUAUAAUAGCCCCGUAUGUUUUCUUUUCAGCAGCCCAAAUUUUCUCUCGAAGCUCUUUCAUGUCAUCACGCUUAUGGGUGGGUAUUGGUAUCUGAACUCUUGUAAAUCCGAUGUGAUCAGGCAAACCAGGUAUCUUAAAGUAUUCUGAAUCAGAUGAAACAUUCUCGUGAACCUUUGAAUCGCGCAAUAGGUUCAUGCACAAGAGACAGAAGCAAGAAAAUCCAUGGAAAAUAAUCCUUGGAACAUUGAACUUGGCAGCAGUAUCGACCG
RNAcentral lists this long non-coding RNA (420 nucleotides) under Citrus maxima (pomelo). Its description in RNAcentral is "long non-coding RNA (CMAX_LNC000267)". The record is from RNAcentral. Lineage: Eukaryota; Viridiplantae; Streptophyta; Magnoliopsida; Sapindales; Rutaceae.